This is a long non-coding RNA of Thalassophryne amazonica, 282 nucleotides long. RefSeq lists it as uncharacterized. NCBI's taxonomy places the organism in Eukaryota, Metazoa, Chordata, Actinopteri, Batrachoidiformes, Batrachoididae. The transcript has 3 exons. The record is from RefSeq and is a predicted model, not a curated record.
UGUGAAGCCAGACUUAUUCAGCAGUUUUCUGGUAAAUUGACAUUUUGUUGGCAUUAAAAAACCCUGAGUAACUGAUUCAUUUCAUGACAACUGAAGUUUGGAUCAUUCCUAGCACAGAUUUCCCCCACCAUAUGAUGAUAUUCUGAGGUAUUUGGCAGUAGUAACUCGCUCUGUCUUGCCAAACAAGAAAACGGUUCUGGUGUGAUGUAAUGAUAUUUUAGGGUUGUGUUAAAUCAAGUCUGAAUGAAGCCAAAUAUACAAGGUGAGAUUGGCACAAGAAAG